CCUACGGGUGACUGCAGUGGGGAAUAUUGGACAAUGGGGGGAACCCUGAUCCAGCCAUGCCGCGUGUGUGAAGAAGGCCCUCGGGUUGUAAAGCACUUUCAGUGAGGAAGAACGCCUGGUGGUUAAUACCCAUCAGGAAAGACAUCACUCACAGAAGAAGCACCGGCUAACUCCGUGCCAGCAGCCGCGGUAAUACGGAGGGUGCGAGCGUUAAUCGGAAUUACUGGUCGUAAAGCGCGCGUAGGUGGCUUGAUAAGCCGGUUGUGAAAGCCCCGGGCUCAACCUGGGAACGGCAUCCGGAACUGUCAAGCUAGAGUGCAGGAGAGGAAGGUAGAAUUCCCGGUGUAGCGGUGAAAUGCGUAGAGAUCGGGAGGAAUACCAGUGGCGAAGGCGGCCUUCUGGACUGACACUGACACUGAGGUGCGAAAGCGUGGGUAGCAAACAGGAUUAGAUACCCCAGUAGUC
This 465-nucleotide ribosomal RNA is filed under the name Vreelandella stevensii. RNAcentral describes it as "partial 16S ribosomal RNA". It matches the Rfam family "Bacterial small subunit ribosomal RNA", at positions 338 to 795 of the family's 1533-position model. The record is from RNAcentral. Lineage: Bacteria; Pseudomonadati; Pseudomonadota; Gammaproteobacteria; Oceanospirillales; Halomonadaceae.